CGUGUGGUGUCUGGCAGCAAAACAAGGCUGGAUAGCGACACGGCCUGAACAGAGGU
RNAcentral lists this non-coding RNA (56 nucleotides) under Xenorhabdus griffiniae. RNAcentral's name for it is "L31-Gammaproteobacteria ribosomal protein leader". It matches the Rfam family "L31-Gammaproteobacteria ribosomal protein leader". The record is from RNAcentral. Lineage: Bacteria; Pseudomonadati; Pseudomonadota; Gammaproteobacteria; Enterobacterales; Morganellaceae.